Alnus glutinosa is the source of this 737-nucleotide long non-coding RNA. RefSeq lists it as uncharacterized. The transcript has 2 exons. Lineage: Eukaryota; Viridiplantae; Streptophyta; Magnoliopsida; Fagales; Betulaceae. The record is from RefSeq and is a predicted model, not a curated record.
GGCGCACAGACGUGCGUCCCUCAAAAGAAAAAACGAAAAGAGGCAUUCUAUUGACCCCCGAGAGAAGAAAAAAUGGAAAAAGGGGAGUUGUCAUUUUUUUUUCAUAAGAAAAAAAUUUAGAUCUACGAAAAUCUAACCGUCUAAACUCAAAUUCGACUUCGGAAAUGUGAUCUAUGCGUAAGGAUUUACGUUUUCACCGAUCAUUUUAAGGUAAAACACUAAACUCACGAUUUUGUAAUUUUGGGUCAAUUACAAAAUCUUGAGUUUAAUGUUUUACCUUAAAAUGAUCGGUGAAAACGUAGAUCCUUACGCGUAGAUCACGUUUCCGAAGUCGGAUUUGAGUUUGGAUGGUUGGAUCUUCGUAGAUCUAAGUUUCUUUCUUAUGAAAGAAUGAGAACCCUCUCCUGUCCAAACUCAAAUCCGACUUCGGAAACGUGAGCAACGCGAAAGGAUGUACGUUUCUUCGAUUAUUUUAAGGUAAUGGAUUACUUGGAAUUUGCUUAAAGUUACCCAAGUCAUGGGUUUUGGUUUGGUGAAAUUUUGGUAAGUUUUUCUCAAAUCCUAACUUUUGGGUAUUUAAUUUAUGGUUCGUGUCCUACUUGGCACAUGUAUUUGCUGAGCCUGUAUUUUGGUAUGUAAUUAUAAUAAUAUGUUUUAUAAGAUCUAACUAGAUAAACAUGUAAAUGACUCUUGUUGUAAUUAACUGUUAUGUAUUCGAUGUAUUUCCGUUUUUGAUA